RNAcentral lists this long non-coding RNA (961 nucleotides) under Anas platyrhynchos platyrhynchos (common mallard). RNAcentral's name for it is "lncRNA (ENSAPLG00000025442.1)". The record is from RNAcentral. Lineage: Eukaryota; Metazoa; Chordata; Aves; Anseriformes; Anatidae.
GUCUGAGGAAAUCUACGAGUAGUAGUAACUUUCUUGUGUUAAUGUUUGUUUCUCUGUAAUUUAUUCCUACUGGGACCAGUUGGACCUUCUUCUUUAUGUCUACAUCUAUAUCAAAAUAUUGUCUAACUCAAGAUAAUCAGUGCACUGUGGUGAAUACUGACUUGUACUGAGAAAUCUCUCCAGUGUCUGGUGGGGAUAUCCUAUUGCACUGCACAGGGCAAUUGAGAAAACUGGAUUUUGAAAGGAUUAUGUUUCUUCCCUCUUUCUACAAUGCUGCUAGCAGUGCAGAUUCCUGUAUUGUGCAAAGUACAUGGAACUCCAAAAAAGGCUGGCAGCAUCAUGGUGGAAGGGGACAUUGCUGGGAACAAGGUUGUUCUGGGAGGAGAAACUCCAUAACAGAGGAGGUGUGUCUCAGAGGGUCUGUGGCUCUGGGACAGGAUCACCCUGGAGGGACUGUGGCUGGGGGUAACCCAUGCUGCAACAUCAGAAAAGGAGAGGUGAAGAGUGGCUUGCAGAAGCUGUUAUGACCCUGCCUUGAUUGUCACAUCCCUGAAGGAGCUAGAGGAACUGACCAUAACCCUCAACAAAAGCAAAGUGAUGCUGAGGCUCGGAAGAGGGGAGGAGAGGUGCUUGCCUAAAGCUGAACCAGGGAAGUGUUCAUUUAAUUGUUUGCUUUUGUGUUUUGUUGUUGUUCUUGUUGUCUGUUUCCUUCCUUCAAUAUCCAAAAGGGUGAUCAAAAGUUUUGUCUAAUUGUCAGUAAUUAAACAAAGUAAAAUACCCCAAGAUAAGACUGUUUUCCUGCAACACUCAGUACAGCACAUAUGUCUCCUUGGGUUUUAGCAUGUCCACAUUCAGAUGCCAUUCAGUAAAAAGGGGUGAAUAUAAUUAUUCUUUUAUUCAGAUGUUCCUAAAAGAAGCUCUUGAAGCUCUUUUUUUUUUUUUUCCCAAACACUUUAAAAAA